AUGGGAUAAGAACCCAAAACCAUUGCUUUGAGGCAGUGAAUGGCUUGUAUAAAGUUAUUUUGGUUUAAAAUAUGUUAUAAUACAAUGAAUUUGAUUGAUUACAAGUGCUAGAAAUGCAUGAAGAAUGUUUAGAAGUGAGAAGAAAGACUUGUUGAAAUUUGGUCUCAAAUGGGAUAAGAACCCAAAACCAUUGCUUUGAGGCAAAGAAUGGCUUGUAUAAAGUUACUUUGGGUUAGAAUAUGUUAUAAUACAAUGAAUUUGAUUGAUUACAAGUGCUAGCGAUGCAUGAAGAAUGUUUAGAAGUGAGAAGAAAGACUUGUGGAUAUUUGGUCCCAAAUGGGAUAAGAACCCAAAACCAUUGCUUUGAGGCAGUGAAUGGCUUGUAUAAAGUUAUUUUGGUUUAAAAUAUGUUAUAAUGCAAUGAAUUUGAUUGAUUACAAGUGCUAGAGAUGCAUGAAGAAUGGCUUGUAUAAAGUUACUUUCGGUUAAAAUAUGUUAUAAUACAAUGAAUUUGAUUGAUUACAAGUUCUAGCGAUGCAUGAAGAAUGUUUAGAAGUGAUAAGAAAGACUUGUGGAUAUUUGGUCACAAAUGGGAUAAGAACCCAAAACCAUUGCUUUGAGGCAGUGAAUGGCUUGUAUAAUGUUAUUUGGUUUAGUAAUAUGUUAUAAUACAAUGAAUUUGAUUGAUUACUAG
RNAcentral lists this long non-coding RNA (694 nucleotides) under Capsella rubella. RNAcentral describes it as "long non-coding RNA (CRUB_LNC000349)". The record is from RNAcentral. Lineage: Eukaryota; Viridiplantae; Streptophyta; Magnoliopsida; Brassicales; Brassicaceae.